Long non-coding RNA from Daphnia magna, 2571 nucleotides. RefSeq lists it as uncharacterized. The record is from RefSeq and is a predicted model, not a curated record. The transcript has 2 exons. Lineage: Eukaryota; Metazoa; Arthropoda; Branchiopoda; Diplostraca; Daphniidae.
GCGCACGCAAUGGAAUCUUCACUACAAAAUUAAUAAGAAUAAUAAAAAUAAACAAAACAAACACACGGGCUGUAUUGCUGUUCCGGCCUCUUUCUCAUUGGCGCCACACUGCGUUUUACUAAGCCCUUGCUUACGCUGCUGCUGCUAUUGAAAGGUUUGUUUUUGUUAAGACAAUACAAAAAUAAAAAACGAACAGGCUUUACUGCUUCUGCAUAGUUUCUCUUCGAUAGCUGUUGACGAAUCGAGGGUGGUUUUUCUGGCCUUUGGUUACGCAAUCCGAGACCUACAAGCUAAACACAAUUGACAAGCUUCAACGACGACGUCGUCUUCCUCCACUAGUUCCUUUCUACAUUUUGACAACGUAUUGGAAUGCGGCUGAACUCGGGCAAGACUCCAACCAACGCCAUUUUGAUGUGCUAUUAAUAAAUCCGCGAUCUUCUCUCCCUGACCCAAACCUCAACUUCAUCUAGACCCCAUUUCUAACCCUUUUCUUUACUUUCGACCAUUUUUUGUUUGGCUCUUUUCCCACUGCUUUGCCAGUACUAGCUUCUGUGUGUGUGUGUGUUUGUUGCAAGUAUCGACGUAGCAACGACACGCGACACACGGCAUGUUUGCAUACCCAUUCUUUAUUGAUCAUCCCUACAUUUUGUCAGGUCAUGCCUUUGGACUUUGAAAAGCAAUUCAACUAAACAUGGACUGCUGCUUUCCUCAACAAAAUGUGACCUGAUCUUCGGGGGAAAUGAGAAUGCUAUUACAGUAACCAGAAUUGCCUGAUGAUUAACAAACAAAAAGAAUGAUGAAACAAAGGAAGAAGAUGAACAAAGUUCUUACCCUGUGAUCAAGAUGUUCUUCAGGUUCCUUUGAGAUAGUGAGACAAGUGGUUGUCCAAAUGAAGGGGGAAAAGUGGGCCAACCCCCCACAAAGAGAAACAAAACCACGCGAGGUCUUUCAUACAAUUGGAUCGAGUUCAGAAAUAUCUUUUUCCCUUAAUACAUAUACUGUGCAGUGGCCUUGGGAAACCCACACACACACACAUACACACACACACACAGGGAGAAGACUAAGAGAUGGGAGAAAAAUCUUUAAGGUCAAUUGAUACACUCCAUUUCAACUAUUUAACUUCACCUUUACUCCAUGGACAACUUCACUAAAACUUCACGUCCAAAGCUUUUUUAUUCGUUUCGACACAAUAACUUCGAGGACUGUGUCUCCUGGCUCUCUGAUAACUGGAUGGUGCCGUAGUGCAUUGAGCAGUCCACACAGAAACGACGGGCAAACCAGCUGUGUAUGACGAAAUUAGUUCCGUCUUACACCGCUAGAGCUACCAGGUACCGUAAUGUUUGCUGUGCUCAUUUUUACAUGCGUCGCAGCAACAGCCAUUAUUAGAUUUAUUACACCGUUCACGACCAAUAUAUAAGCGUUUUUCAUGUACUCUUUUUUUCCAUGAGGAGAAUUUCUCCUUUAAUUCAAAAAACGCAUUAGAGUUAGCUGACGGGAAUAAACGAAUUGAUGAAAUGUGUUAUGAAAUUCAGGCCAGUCUAAAUUCUCAUUAGGCUCUCGUGCGACACAUGAAUAAACACAAACAUCUAAAAGUCUGUCCAUUUAGUACUUUACUUUUUGGUUAUCCGAAUACGUUACAAGUUUGCAAUCAUUAUUCUUUUCUUUCCAACUUAAUAGAUUAAUCCACUUGUUUUUUUUAUCAGCGUCCAAAUUAAAGAAAACAAAAAAAUAAUAAAUGAAAAAACACUACAAAGGUUGAAUCACAGUCAAUCCAGAUAAACGAUAUAGAUGGAGGAUCUAGGGCAUCGGUUUCAAGGGUAUCAGAUCCCUAGCGACAAAAGUGUGGCAUUCCAGUUGAUUCGCCAUCAAGACGACGUCGUUUACGCUCCUUCAAACGACCAAAAAAUUCCGUGAUAUCUUCCUCUCGAACGACUCUUUUGUUAUCAGCAAAGGUUUUCAGGUAAUCUUUCAGUUCGGCCGCGAAACUUUGGUACUCUGUUAUAGCUUCAACUUGUUGGAUGCGAUCCAAUGAGGAAAGCGCUUCCAUGAGCCGCUCGUUGUUCGACGGUCGGUUGACACAAGCCAUUUUACCUUUUUGCUCGUAAUGCUCAACCGUGUCCUGGUCAUCCGUAAGAUAUUGGAUCUUUUUAUCUGCAUAUAGUGCCUGAAUUACAGAAAAAAGAAAACCAUCAUUAUAAAAAAAAUAAAAUAAAAUAAAAAAAAAUAAUUCAUAAUUUAUCAUUCGAUUACUUACCAAACACUUUUCGCAUCUGCACAGUCGAUUCCGCCAUCCUUCCGGCCAAAAUGUCGCUUUCUUCAAAUUCAGCUGCUCUUUCUCAAUGGUUUUAGCUUCUAGUUUGCAGGCUAACGACAAUUGGUCGGAUUCUACUGGUAGUACAUAUGCAUUGAGGAAAGGGUAUUUCUCCAUGCAUUGGCCACAUAUCAUCUCGGAAUAAUCUUGAUCCGGAGGCGGACUACUGCCCAAAUGCUGUGCAAAAAUAAAAAUAAUUAUAUGAAUUAUAAAAUAUUUGUUUUUGUAAAAUAAAAACCUUGUUGUGGUGCCAAUCUUCA